Non-coding RNA from Dermacentor andersoni, 597 nucleotides. The record is from RefSeq and is a predicted model, not a curated record. NCBI's taxonomy places the organism in Eukaryota, Metazoa, Arthropoda, Arachnida, Ixodida, Ixodidae.
CAUCCCUGGCGUUGGCAGUCGCUUUGCAACAGCCGCGCUCUGGAUGGCCUGUUUCGAGCACAGCCUAGGCUCGGUGAGCCUACUGCCGUCGAAGUAACGUAGCGCCUGGUCCGGACGCCGCAGAUAGUCGCGUCUAGAACGCAGCGGAUGUGCGCCCACUACGCAGGCUGUCAGUUCUUGGAGAGCAGCAGCAGUGAAAGGCGCCAGGCACCUCGGGACACUUCCGUGAAAUUGGGCAAUCCGAGCUUUCUUCAGCGCCGUCUCUUGAACGCAUUCCAGGGCCUCCUUAAGCUGACGGAAGAGGGCGCUUCAAGGGUCCGCCUCCAAACCGGGCGUCGGAACGAAUACGGUGGUGACGUGAUGUCAAGUCUACUGUACAUGCGGCAGUGACUGCGCUGGCAUCGAUGUCCACAGUGUGCUCUUGGCCCCACAAUGAACCCAGCAAUCACAGUGGUACUUCUUUCAGUGACGAUUAUUCCAAGAGAAGGUAUAUGUCGAAAACUCAAUCUAACAGAAGAAGUGGAGAAAUAUGUUAAGAACUACCUCGGUGAAGUCUUUGUGGGAUUGAGCUUGACGGAUGAGCUUCCAGGCAACCCA